GAAGAGAGAGGGAGAGAGAGGAGGUGUCAUGUAUAGGAAGAGAGGAGGUGUUAUGCAUAGGAAGAGAGGGAGAGAGGAGAGGUGUCAUGCAUAGGAAGAGAGAGGGGGAGAGGAGAGAUGUCAUGCAUAGGAAGAGAGGGGGGAGAGGAGAGGUGUCAUGCAUAGGAAGAGAGGGGGAGAGAGGAGGUGUCAUGCAUAGGAAGAGAGAGGGAGAGAGAGGAGGUGUCAUGUAUAGGAAGAGAGGUGUUAUGCAUAGGAAGAGAGGGAGAGAGGAGAGGUGUCAUGCAUAGGAAGAGAGAGGGAGAGGAGAGGUAUCAUGUAUAGGAAGAGAGGGAGAGAGAGGAGGUGUCAUGCAUAGGGAGAGAGGAGAGGUGUCAUGCAUAGGAAGAGAGGGGGAGAGAGGUGUCAUGCAUAGGAAGAGAGGAGGUGUCAUGCAGAGGGAGAGAAUGGGAGAGGUGUCAUGCAUAGGAAGAGAGGGGGAUAGAGAGGUGUCAUGCAUAUGAAGAGAGAGGGAGAGGGGAGAGGUGUAAUGCAUAGGAAGAGAGAGGAGAGGUGUCAUGCACAGGAAGAGAGAGGAUAGGUGUCAUGCAGAGGGAGAGAGAGGAGAGGUGGCAUCAGCCCAUCUAAGACAGGUGUUUUGUUCAUUGAGCAUCAGCUCCUG
Long non-coding RNA from Oncorhynchus tshawytscha (Chinook salmon), 661 nucleotides. The record is from Ensembl. NCBI's taxonomy places the organism in Eukaryota, Metazoa, Chordata, Actinopteri, Salmoniformes, Salmonidae.